This is a long non-coding RNA of Panicum virgatum (switchgrass), 632 nucleotides long. RefSeq lists it as uncharacterized. The transcript is spliced from 2 exons. The record is from RefSeq and is a predicted model, not a curated record. Lineage: Eukaryota; Viridiplantae; Streptophyta; Magnoliopsida; Poales; Poaceae.
GGUGUCAUGGGACCUCUUCCCUUCCGCUCCGGCGCCGUCGUCGCCGACAACCGACCCGCGCUCCUCGUCCGGAUCUCCCUUUACCCUUCCCCGUAGGUUCCGUCCUGCCUCGUCCCCUCCUACCCGUCUCUCCUCCGCCAUUGCCAGCCCCGGUCAUGUAGGCGGGCAUGCGCAGGAAUCCUGGGCCAGCAGUCUGGGGGGGCCAUCCCGAACACCAGCAGCCAAGCCCAGAAUGGCUUCCUCGUCGCCUCCGCCAGCCCAGAAUGUAAGGCUAAGGUUUGAUUGCUACCGUGAGAUCGCGAGAGGGUUUCCCACGAUCGUCAAUACCACCAGCCACCGGCGCCGGCAACCGAGACGGCGCCCACAUGGUUGCUCGCAGCACGCUCUGAUGAGAGAGAAUGCGCUUGCCUUAACUGCGCCCAAGCAUCAUCAUCAGCGGUGUUGCCGUGUUGAUACACUCCAUGCGGCAAAGGGAUCAGCGGUGGAUGGGAGUAUGGAACUAUGGGUGAUCGCCUAUCUAUGCUUCUUAAAGUGCCCUUUCGAAUGGGUUUGAAGGGCAUGAUUGCUUGAGUGUCAAAAUGUGCCCUGCUAAAUAUGGGCAUAUCAAUAAAUUUUGGCAUUCAUUCAGUUAA